GUGGGGAAUUUUGGACAAUGGGCGCAAGCCUGAUCCAGCAAUGCCGCGUGUGUGAAGAAGGCCUUCGGGUUGUAAAGCACUUUUGUCCGGAAAGAAAUGGCCUGGGUUAAUACCCCGGGUCGAUGACGGUACCGGAAGAAUAAGCACCGGCUAACUACGUGCCAGCAGCCGCGGUAAUACGUAGGGUGCGAGCGUUAAUCGGAAUUACUGGGCGUAAAGCGUGCGCAGGCGGCGAUGCAAGACAGAUGUGAAAUCCCCGGGCUCAACCUGGGAACUGCAUUUGUGACUGCAUGGCUAGAGUGCGUCAGAGGGGGUGGAAUUCCGCGUGUAGCAGUGAAAUGCGUAGAGAUGCGGAGGAACACCGAUGGCGAAGGCAGCCCCCUGGGAUGACACUGACGCUCAUGCACGAAAGCGUGGGGAGCAAACAGGAUUAGAAACCCUUGUAGUCC
This 449-nucleotide ribosomal RNA is filed under the name uncultured bacterium. Its description in RNAcentral is "partial 16S ribosomal RNA". It matches the Rfam family "Bacterial small subunit ribosomal RNA", at positions 354 to 796 of the family's 1533-position model. The record is from RNAcentral.